RNAcentral lists this transfer RNA (74 nucleotides) under Nematalosa come (Western Pacific gizzard shad). RNAcentral describes it as "tRNA-Lys". It matches the Rfam family "tRNA". Rfam says of the family: Transfer RNA (tRNA) molecules are approximately 80 nucleotides in length. Their secondary structure includes four short double-helical elements and three loops (D, anti-codon, and T loops). Further hydrogen bonds mediate the characteristic L-shaped molecular structure. tRNAs have two regions of fundamental functional importance: the anti-codon, which is responsible for specific mRNA codon recognition, and the 3' end, to which the tRNAs corresponding amino acid is attached (by aminoacyl-tRNA synthetases). tRNAs cope with the degeneracy of the genetic code in two manners: having more than one tRNA (with a specific anti-codon) for a particular amino acid; and 'wobble' base-pairing, i.e. permitting non-standard base-pairing at the 3rd anti-codon position. Lineage: Eukaryota; Metazoa; Chordata; Actinopteri; Clupeiformes; Clupeidae. The record is from RNAcentral.
CACUAGGAAGCUAAAUAGGGCCUAGCGUCAGCCUUUUAAGCUGAAGAUUGGUGGCCCCCAACCACCUCUAGUGA